This 492-nucleotide ribosomal RNA is filed under the name uncultured bacterium. RNAcentral describes it as "partial 16S ribosomal RNA". It matches the Rfam family "Bacterial small subunit ribosomal RNA", at positions 29 to 507 of the family's 1533-position model. The record is from RNAcentral.
AGUGAACGCUGGCGGUAGGCCUAACACAUGCAAGUCGAACGGCAGCACAGUAAGAGCUUGCUCUUACGGGUGGCGAGUGGCGGACGGGUGAGGGAUACAUCGGAAUCUACGUGUUCGUGGGGGAGAACGUAGGGAAACUUACGCUAAUACCGCAUACGACCUACGGGUGAAAGCAUGGGAUCUUCGGACCUUGCGCGAUUGGAUGAGCCGAGGUCGGAUUAGCUAGUUGGCGGGGUAAAGGCCCACCAAGGCGACGAUCCGUAGCUGGUCUGAGAGGAUGAUCAGCCACACUGGAACUGAGACACGGUCCAGACUCCUACGGGAGGCAGCAGUGGGGAAUAUUGGACAAUGGGCGAAAGCCUGAUCCAGCCAUGCCGCGUGGGUGAAGAAGGCCUUCGGGUUGUAAAGCCCUUUUGUUGGGGAAGAAAAGCAGUAGGUUAAUACCCCGCUGUUCUGACGUUACCCAAAGAAUAAGCACCGGCUAACUUCGUG